GAUCCUGGCUCAGGACUAACGCUGGCGGCGUGCCUAACACAUGCAAGUCGAACGGAACUGUUUUGAAAGAUUUCUUCGGAAUGAAUUUGAUUUAGUUUAGUGGCGGACGGGUGAGUAACGCGUGAGUAACCUGCCUUCAAGAGGGGGAUAACAUUCUGAAAAGAAUGCUAAUACCGCAUGAUAUAUCGGGACCACAUGGUUUUGAUAUCAAAGAUUUUAUCGCUUGAAGAUGGACUCGCGUCCGAUUAG
Molecule: ribosomal RNA, 249 nt
Filed under: uncultured bacterium
Lineage: Bacteria
Description: partial 16S ribosomal RNA
Rfam family: Bacterial small subunit ribosomal RNA
Source: RNAcentral